Molecule: ribosomal RNA, 492 nt
Filed under: uncultured bacterium
Lineage: Bacteria
Description: partial 16S ribosomal RNA
Rfam family: Bacterial small subunit ribosomal RNA
Source: RNAcentral
AGUGAACGCUGGCGGUAUGCCUAACACAUGCAAGUCGAACGGCAGCACAGUAAGAGCUUGCUCUUACGGGUGGCGAGUGGCGGACGGGUGCGGAAUACAUCGGAAUCUACUUUUUCGUGGGGGAUAACGUAGGGAAACUUACGCUAAUACCGCAUACGACCUACGGGGGAAAGCAGGGGAUCUUCGGACCUUGCGCGAUUGUAUGAGCCGAUGUCGGAUUAGCUAGUUGGCGGGGUAAAGGCCCAGCAAGGCGACGAUCCGUAGCUGGUCUGAGAGGAUGAUCAGCCACACUGGAACUGAGACACGGUCCAGACUCCUACGGGAGGCAGCAGUGGGGAAUCUUGGACAAUGGGCGCAAGCCUGAUCCAGCCAUACCGCGUGGGUGAAGAAGGCCUUCGGGUUGUAAAGUCCUUUUGUUCGGAAAGAAAAGCAGCAGGUUAAUACCCCGCUGUUAUGACGGUACCCAAAGAAUAAGCACCGGCUAACUUCGUG